This 214-nucleotide non-coding RNA is filed under the name uncultured Oxalobacter sp. The record is from RNAcentral. Lineage: Bacteria; Pseudomonadati; Pseudomonadota; Betaproteobacteria; Burkholderiales; Oxalobacteraceae.
GUUCUGGUGCUCGCACAUUUGUCUGAUGUGCAGUUAAACGGGAAACACGAAGCCGCAAGUUUCGGCCAACGUGUGCUGCCCCCGCAACGGUAAGCAGGUGUUCCGAUGAGGGAACACGCCGUCCAUCCGCGCCACUGUGCCUUGUGCAUGGGAAGGCAGGACGGCCGGUUUCGGUGAGAUACCGAAAACCUGUAGCCCGGAUACCGGCCCGAAC